RNAcentral lists this ribosomal RNA (468 nucleotides) under uncultured bacterium. Its description in RNAcentral is "partial 16S ribosomal RNA". It matches the Rfam family "Bacterial small subunit ribosomal RNA", at positions 28 to 507 of the family's 1533-position model. The record is from RNAcentral.
GACGAACGCUGGCGGCGUGCUUAACACAUGCAAGUCGAACGGAAAGGCCCUGCUUUUGUGGGGUGCUCGAGUGGCGAACGGGUGAGUAACACGUGAGUAACCUGCCCUUGACUUUGGGAUAACUUCAGGAAACUGGGGCUAAUACCGGAUAGGAGCUCCUGCUGCAUGGUGGGGGUUGGAAAGUUUCGGCGGUUGGGGAUGGACUCGCGGCUUAUCAGCUUGUUGGUGGGGUAGUGGCUUACCAAGGCUUUGACGGGUAGCCGGCCUGAGAGGGUGACCGGCCACAUUGGGACUGAGAUACCGCCCCGACUCCUACGGGAGGUAGCAGUGGGGAAUAUUGCACCAUGGGCGGAAGCCUGAUGCCGCAACGCCGCGUGCGGGAUGACGGCCUUCGGGUUGUAAACCGCUUUCGCCUGUGACGAAGCGUGAGUGACGGUAAUGGGUAAAGAAGCAACGGCUAACUACGUG